ACCAAGGAGUCUGACAUGUGUCCGAGUCAACGGGCUAGUAAAUUCAUAAGGCGUAAGGAAUCUGAUUGGUGGGAUCCCCCUGAGGGGUGCACCGCCGACCAACCUUGAUCUUCUGAGAAGGGUUCGAGUGUGAGCAUACCUGUUGGGACCCGAAAGAUGCUGAACUAUGCCUGAGUGAGGUGAAGCCAAAGCAUACUCUGGUGGAGGCCCGUAGCGAUACUGAUGUGCAAAUCGUUCAUCUGACUUGGGUAUAGGGGCGAAAGACUAAUCGAACUGUCUAGUAGCUAGUUCCCUUUGAAGUCUCCCUAAGAAUAGCUGGAGCUCGCGUGUGAGUUCUAUUGGGUAAAGACAAUGAUUAGAGGAUUCGUGAGCGCAACAGCCUUGACCUAUUCUCGAACUUUAAAUCAGUAGGACGGCGGGACUGCUUUGUCGAGCUGCACCACAAAAUCAGUAGCUCAAAGUGGACCAUUUUUUGUAAACUGAACUGGCGUUGCGGGAUGAACGGAAAGUCGCCUUAUGGUGCCAAACUGCACUCUAACCAAGAUCCAACAAAGGUUGUUGGUCGAUUAAGACAGCAGGAAGGUGGUCAUCGAAGUCCAAAUCCGCUAAGGAGUGUGUACCAAUUCAGCAGCCGAGUAAACUAACCCCGAAAAUAGAUGGCGCUUAAGCGCGAGACCUACACCCAGCCGUCAGGGCAAGUGCCAGACCCUGAUGAGUUGGAGGGAAUAGCGGUCACGGCAAAACCUUGGGCAUGAGCCUGGGCGGAGCAGCCGUUAAUGCAGAUCUUUGUGGUAGUAGCAAAUUUUCAAAUGAGAACUUUGAAGGGUGAAGAGGGGAAAUGUUCAAUGUGAAUGGCACUAGCACAUGGGUUAGUCGAUCCUAUGGGUCGAGGGAACCCCGACAGAUAAUGCAUUUCGCGCGUACCCCGAAAGGGAACCGAGUUAAGAAUCCUGAAUUGGGACGUGGCAGUUGACGACAACGUUUGGAAGUCGGGAGACGUCGGUGGGAGCCUCGGGAAGAGUUGUCUUUUGCCGUUUCACAUCAUGCCCACCAUGGAAUCGGCUCUGCCGGAGGUUGGGUCCAACGGCUGGAAGAGCACCACACGUCACGUGGUGUCCGGUGCGCUCUCGGCGAUCCUUCAAAAUCCAGAGGACAGAAUGUUGUCCACGCUCAGUCAUACUCAUAACCGCAUCAGGUCUGCAAGGUGAACAACCUCUAGUU
This 1221-nucleotide ribosomal RNA is filed under the name Solanum tuberosum (potato). RNAcentral's name for it is "rRNA LSU_rRNA_eukarya". It matches the Rfam family "Eukaryotic large subunit ribosomal RNA", at positions 665 to 1888 of the family's 3401-position model. The record is from Rfam by way of RNAcentral. Lineage: Eukaryota; Viridiplantae; Streptophyta; Magnoliopsida; Solanales; Solanaceae.